Molecule: ribosomal RNA, 863 nt
Filed under: uncultured bacterium
Lineage: Bacteria
Description: bacterial SSU rRNA
Rfam family: Bacterial small subunit ribosomal RNA
Source: RNAcentral
UUUGAUCAUGGCUCAGGAUGAACGCUGGCGGCGUGGAUAAGUGCAUGCAAGUCGAACGCACCUUCGGGUGAGUGGCGAACGAGUUAGUAACAUCUUGGUACCUACCCCUUACUCAGGCAUAACUCCGGGAAACCGGAGCUAAUUCCUGAUAGUCUCGCAAGAGUAAAGAUUUUUCGGUAAGGGAGGGGCCUAGAUCCUAUCAGCUUGUUGGUGAGGUAACGGCUCACCAAGGCUAUGACGGGUAGGGGGCGUGAGAGCGCGAUCCCCAACGAGGGAACUGAGAACGGUCCUUACAUCUACGGAUGGCCGCAGUCGAGAAUAUUGCGCAAUGGACGAAAGUCUGACGCAGCGACGCCGCGUGCAGGAAGACGGCCUUCGGGUUGUAAACUGCUUUUAUGUGGGAAGAACUUUGACGGUACCACAUGAAUAAGAGGUUGCUAACUCUGUGCCAGCAGCAGCGGUAAUACAGAGACCUCAAGCGUUAUCCGGAUUUAUUGGGCGUAAAGGGCAUGUAGUCGGUUUGUAUAGUCUGAUGUUAAAUCUCACGGCCCAACCGUGAGGCCGCAUCGGAAACGUACAGACUGGAGCAAGUCAGAGGUAAGCAGAACGUGCAGUGUAGGGGUGAAAUCCGUUGAUAUUGCACGGAAUACCAAAAGCGAAGGCAGCUUACUGGGGCUUUGCUGACGAUGAGAUGCGAAAGCGUGGGGAUCAAAAAGGAUUAGAUACCCUUGUAGUCCACGCCCUAAACGAUCCAGACUGGCUAUCGGGAGCAUCGACCCUUCCGGUGGCGAAGCUAACGCGUUAAGUCUGGCGCCUGGGAAUUACGAUCGCAAGAUUAAAACUCAAAGGAAUUGACGGGAAUC